RNAcentral lists this ribosomal RNA (254 nucleotides) under uncultured bacterium. Its description in RNAcentral is "partial 16S ribosomal RNA". It matches the Rfam family "Bacterial small subunit ribosomal RNA", at positions 524 to 776 of the family's 1533-position model. The record is from RNAcentral.
UACGUAGGGGGCGAGCGUUGUCCGGAUUUAUUGGGCGUAAAGAGCUCGUAGGCGGUUGGGCAAGUCACGUGUGAAAUCUCCACGCUCAACGUGGAGGCGCCACGUGAGACUGCCCUGACUGGAGUCCGGUAGGGGAGCGUGGAAUUCCCGGUGUAGCGGUGAAAUGCGCAGAGAUCGGGAGGAACACCGGUGGCGAAGGCGGUUCUCUGGGCCUUACCUGACGCUGAGGAGCGAAAGCGUGGGGAGCGAACAGG